RNAcentral lists this ribosomal RNA (255 nucleotides) under uncultured bacterium. RNAcentral describes it as "partial 16S ribosomal RNA". It matches the Rfam family "Bacterial small subunit ribosomal RNA", at positions 524 to 776 of the family's 1533-position model. The record is from RNAcentral.
UACGUAGGGUGCAAGCGUUGUCCGGAAUUAUUGGGCGUAAAGAGCUCGUAGGCGGUCUGUCGCGUCGGCUGUGAAAACCCGGAGCUCAACUCCGGGCCUGCAGUCGAUACGGGCAAACUGGAGUGUUGCAGGGGAGACUGGAAUUCCUGGUGUAGCGGUGAAAUGCGCAGAUAUCAGGAGGAACACCGGUGGCGAAGGCGGGUCUCUGGGCAGUUUGGCUGACACUGAGGCGCGACAGCGUGGGGAGCAAACAGG